ACGGAGGCAGCAGUGGGGGAUAUUGCACAAUGGGGGAAACCCUGAUGCAGCGACGCCGCGUGAGUGAUGAAGUAUUUCGGUAUGUAAAGCUCUAUCAGCAGGGAAGAAAAUGACGGUACCUGACUAAGAAGCUCCGGCUAAAUACGUGCCAGCAGCCGCGGUAAUACGUAUGGAGCAAGCGUUAUCCGGAUUUACUGGGUGUAAAGGGAGCGUAGACGGUCUAGCAAGUCUGAAGUGAAAGGUGUGGGCUCAACCCGCAAACUGCUUUGGAAACUGUUAAACUUGAGUGUCGGAGAGGUAAGUGGAAUUCCUAGUGUAGCGGUGAAAUGCGUAGAUAUUAGGAGGAACACCAGUGGCGAAGGCGGCUUACUGGACGAUAACUGACGUUGAGGCUCGAAAGCGUGGGGAGCAAACAGGAUUAGAUACCCUGGUA
Molecule: ribosomal RNA, 433 nt
Filed under: uncultured Lachnospiraceae bacterium
Lineage: Bacteria; Bacillati; Bacillota; Clostridia; Lachnospirales; Lachnospiraceae
Description: partial 16S ribosomal RNA
Rfam family: Bacterial small subunit ribosomal RNA
Source: RNAcentral